GGAAUAUUGCGCAAUGGUCGAAAGACUGACGCAGCGACGCCGCGUGUGGGAGGAAGCCUUUCGGGGUGUAAACCACUGUCAGGAGGGAAGAAACCCGCAUGAACGAAUACUUCAUGCGAUUGACGGUACCUCCAGAGGAAGCGCCGGCUAACUCCGUGCCAGCAGCCGCGGUAAGACGGAGGGAGCGAGCGUUGUUCGGAAUUACUGGGCGUAAAGCGCAGGCAGGCGGUCUGUUAAGUCUUUUGUGAAAAUCCGGGGCUCAACCCCGUGAAACGCAGAAGAUACUGGCAGACUAGAGACCGGUAGAGGCUAGCGGAAUUCCUGGUGUAGCGGUGGAAUGCGUAGAUAUCAGGAAGAACACCUGUGGCGAAGGCGGCUAGCUGGGCUGGAUCUGACGCUCAUCUGCGAAAGCGUGGGGAGCAAAC
This 425-nucleotide ribosomal RNA is filed under the name uncultured bacterium. RNAcentral's name for it is "bacterial SSU rRNA". It matches the Rfam family "Bacterial small subunit ribosomal RNA", at positions 358 to 773 of the family's 1533-position model. The record is from RNAcentral.